Amphiprion ocellaris (clown anemonefish) is the source of this 784-nucleotide long non-coding RNA. The record is from Ensembl. Lineage: Eukaryota; Metazoa; Chordata; Actinopteri; Pomacentridae.
CGCUGGACGUUAUUUUUUGGUCGGUUUAACUUCACUCUGACUUACAGGCCUAGGUCUCGUAAUGUAAAGCCUGAUGCUCUUUCUCGACAGUUUUCUGGUUCUGAGGAAUCUAAGACUCCUGAGCCUAUCCUGUUUGGUGGCAUCACUUACCUGGCAGGUGGAGACUAAGGUGUUGCAGUGGGGCCACACCUCCAAGAUUGCCUGUCAUCCGAGAUAUAAUCGUACCCUGGAGAUUCUGCGACAGAAGUUUUGGUGGCCCACCACGGACAAGGAUGUCAGAGAAUAUGUGAAGGCCUGUACGGUUUGUUCAAGGAACAAGACGUCCAACCAAUCCAUCUCUGGACUCUUGCAACCGCUGCCUAUUCCAAAACGUCCUUGGUCUCACAUCGCAGUAGAUUUCGUCACGGGAUUGCCUCUGUCUCAAGGUAAAGCUGCUGCUGACCUUCUACAACUCAUCCAUAGAGAGCCUGUUGACGUACUGUGUUUCCACCUGGUACGGGAGCUGCACUGAGGCAGACAGAGUGAGGCUUCAGAGGACAGUCAAAGCAGCACAGAGGAUUGUUGGCUGUCCUCUCCCCUCCCUCAUGGACAUCUACCCCACCCGGUGCCUCAGCAGAGCUCAGAACAUUAUCAAGGACAGUUCACAUCCCGGUUCUCAGCUUUUUGAUCUGUUGCCCUCUGGAAGGCGCUACAGAAGCAUUAAAGCGAGGACAAACGGACUUAAAAACAGUUUCUUUCAGAGAGCCAUCACCACCCUGAACUCUCACAGGUCUCACACAAAGCC